ACACCGGUGGCGAAGGCGGAUCUCUGGGCCGAUACUGACGCUGAGGAGCGAAAGCGUGGGGAGCGAACAGGAUUAGAUACCCUGGUAGUCCACGCCGUAAACGGUGGGCACUAGGUGUGGGCGACAUUUCACGUCGUCCGUGCCGCAGCUAACGCAUUAAGUGCCCCGCCUGGGGAGUACGGCCGCAAGGCUAAAACUCAAAGGAAUUGACGGGGGCCCGCACAAGCGGCGGAGCAUGUGGCUUAAUUUGACGCAACGCGAAGAACCUUACCAAGGCUUGACAUACGCCGGAAACACCCAGAGAUGGGGGCCCCCUUGUGGCCGGCGUACAGGUGGUGCAUGGCCGUCGUCAGCUCGUGUCGUGAGAUGUUGGGUUAAGUCCCGCAACGAGCGCAACCCUUGUCCCGUGUUGCCAGCACGCCCCCUCGGGGGUGGUGGGGACUCACGGGAGACCGCCGGGGUCAACUCGGAGGAAGGUGGGGACGACGUCAAGUCAUCAUGCCCCUUAUGUCUUGGGCUGCACACGUGCUACAAUGGCCGGUACAAUGAGCUGCGAUACCGCGAGGUGGAGCGAAUCUCAAAAAGCCGGUCUCAGUUUGGAUUGGGGUUUGCAACUCGACCCCCUGAAGUUGGAGUCGCUAGUAAUCGCAGAUCAGCAUCGCUGCGGUGAAUACGUUCCCGGGCCUUGUACACACCGCCCGUCACGUCACGAAAGUCGGUAACACCCGAAGCCGG
Molecule: ribosomal RNA, 735 nt
Filed under: Streptomyces marokkonensis
Lineage: Bacteria; Bacillati; Actinomycetota; Actinomycetes; Kitasatosporales; Streptomycetaceae
Description: bacterial SSU rRNA
Rfam family: Bacterial small subunit ribosomal RNA
Source: RNAcentral